UACGUAGGGCGCAAGCGUUAUCCGGAAUUAUUGGGCGUAAAGAGCUCGUAGGCGGUUUGUCGCGUCUGCUGUGAAAACCUAAGGCUCAACCUUGGGCUUGCAGUGGGUACGGGCAGACUAGAGUGCGGUAGGGGAGACUGGAAUUCCUGGUGUAGCGGUGAAAUGCGCAGAUAUCAGGAGGAACACCGGUGGCGAAGGCGGGUCUCUGGGCCGUAACUGACGCUGAGGAGCGAAAGCGUGGGGAGCGAACAGG
This 253-nucleotide ribosomal RNA is filed under the name uncultured bacterium. RNAcentral describes it as "partial 16S ribosomal RNA". It matches the Rfam family "Bacterial small subunit ribosomal RNA", at positions 524 to 776 of the family's 1533-position model. The record is from RNAcentral.